This 103-nucleotide small RNA is filed under the name Salmonella enterica. RNAcentral's name for it is "partial RtT sRNA". It matches the Rfam family "RtT RNA", at positions 1 to 99 of the family's 130-position model. From Rfam's summary of the family: This family represents a bacterial cis-regulatory element known as RtT RNA. The exact function of RtT is unknown although it is thought that it may be involved in changing the cellular response in relation to amino acid starvation. RNAcentral also lists the same sequence under 1 other name. The record is from RNAcentral. Lineage: Bacteria; Pseudomonadati; Pseudomonadota; Gammaproteobacteria; Enterobacterales; Enterobacteriaceae.
UGUAUCUGAAGUCUGACGAGGAUGAGAACCUCCGGGGGCAAGAGGUUCGACUCGAGCGAAGCGAGAGAACGUUGCGUCAGCAACGGCCCGCAGGGCGAGCCAC